Columba livia (rock pigeon) is the source of this 20056-nucleotide long non-coding RNA. RefSeq lists it as uncharacterized. The record is from RefSeq and is a predicted model, not a curated record. NCBI's taxonomy places the organism in Eukaryota, Metazoa, Chordata, Aves, Columbiformes, Columbidae. The transcript has 6 exons.
CAUUAGCAUGUGCACAACCUGGGCAGCAGACCUGCUGGAAAGCUGGAAUCUGGAAUGCUUGUAGGAUGGCUGAGCGCUGGACCUUGUCGGAAGAUCUUUCUUACAAACUGGGAUCCAGUGGAUGUGCCCCUGCAGACCUAAUCCAACUCUGUUUUAGUUAUUAGACCAGACACAGGAUUCAUAGGGCACUUCAAAGCCUGGGUCUUCUGUAUUUCCAGGAAUCCUCCAGCCACCUUCUCCUUCCAGGGGUCUCUUCCUGACCAACUUUCUGCUGUGCUCUGUAGGUUGGCAUCACUAGCUACAAUUUGCUGUAAUUGCAUUUGAAAGUAGACCCUUGAUAAGAUUUGGAAACAGAGACUGGCUCAAUUAUACAGCUAUGUGAUCUUACUUGCUUUGGUUUCGCAGUCUGCCUCUUGUCCAGCUUGUUGUUUGUUACACUCCCUUGUGCACUGGUUUAAAUCAAAUGAGCUCUUCUGUGCUGUUUGUAUAGCUUGGGAUAUAGGGACAGCCCAGAAAAAAAGUUCAGGGCCUCAGAAAAAGUACAAAUUUGCUUGGAGAAAGCCAGGGGGGAGAAGAGACUUGGGACUUGGGAAGAGAGCGGACUGGAGCAGAGCAGAUGUAGCCAGGACUUGAUAUACCUCACCAACUGUUUCAUUGGGUUGCAAGGAAAAACCCAAAUGUUUCUGAGCAGGAAUGUGGCCAUCAGCUACUCACCAACAUAGAGGUUAUUCAAAGACUACUAUAUUUUUGGUAUGCCUAGAAAUGUUUAGUUAUUAGAUGAUAGUUUCUUUGCUUGUGUUCAAGUAGUAUUCUGGAGUAACAGCGUGUCUUUUUUUUUCACUGAGCACCUGAAUACUAAAUACAUGAUGUAGACAGUCGAGAUGCUCAAGCAGCCUUGCCGUUCAUAUACUGUUGAUGCACUUUCUGAUUUUUGUAACUUGUUCUCAUCUGACACAGUGAUUUCCUCAGCAGCAGCAAAGCAGCUAUUCUGGUUGCCAGGCUGACCAAUGCAAGAGAUCUCUGAAGCUCAGUAGCAGGAGCCAAAACAGUUGGCAGUUUCAUAGCUAACUGAAUGUUUUUUCAGUAUAGCCUGCAGGUCAGCCAUUACCUGCUAGUAAAUAGGUAAUAAAUAACCACUAACAGUGUCAAGCUCUCUCCUGCUUAUUCUCUCAUACUGUAUUCUGAGUCUGUUUGUGCCACAGGAAAGGUUGGAAAGGCACAAGCCACAGCCAGCUCUCCCUGCUGACGCUUGUACAAGUCUGCAUGGAAUCGGUGCCUCGGGCUGUCCCCAGUAUUUCGGGACCGUAGAUAUACCUGAGAAAUAAUGUGGUGAAAUUAAACCAGCUUGUAGUUGGCUAAAGAGGUACCAAAGUUGGAAGACCAUGUGGACUUGCAGGUGUGUACCUCUCCAACUUUAAUGCAUUGCUGUGGAUGAGUUGCAGGUGCCUGCAUGGCAGUGCAGUGCUGCAGGACAAGGCUUACUUCAGUUCAAAGACCGACUGGCAAAGGGUGAGAGCUGCCAACGGCACAUUUUGCAAACACCCCCUGGCUCUGGAGCUUGUCCCCACCAGCCCCAUUGCUGUGAAACAGCCCAAAUAUUACUGACCUUUCCAGGCAUGAUGUAAAAAACUAUCUGUAUGCAACAGCUUUGGAGGAGGCGUGAUGGCAUGGGGUUUGGAGCUGGGUGGAAGGGGCUGUAUUCUGCUGCUUGUUCACUGGCUGGUCAGAUUAAUUUGUUUUGUUGUGCAGGAGGAUCAUUAAGUCACCAGGUGUUUAUUCCAAUUGGACUGCAAAUCCAGCUAAUUGCCAGGUCACCUAGAUGUUCUGAAUAAUGUCUCCUGAAAACAAAAACUUAAUCUAAAUGUUCAAAACAACAUGUAGCAUCUUGCAAAUCAACCUUGGAAACCACAAAGUGGAACAAGAAUUUAGGACAGGCUGUGGUUGUGGACUCAGCAGCACAUCCUGAACCAGAGCAUUGGCCCUCAGGUGAGACUUGUUUCAGGGCUGUAUCCAUAGAGGCUGCUUACGUUUGGUAUUCUCAUCUCUGCACAGGUACACGGUAGCCUGAGAUCAGGGAACCCUCCUGCUCUUCCUCUGCUUCCCAAAAGGGAGAGAAGCAGAGCCAGGAGCAGCUGAAGUGUUGGGGUCACUCCUCAGGUCCUGCUGUACAUCCAGUGUUAGCACAAGGCUGGUGCAACCCAGCAGAAGUAAAAAUCAUUUUAAGGAACCACGCCAGCAUUUUACGAAGUUUCAAACACAUGAAAAGUCUGAAGGUAUCCCUAGAACUGUAUUGCAGCUUGCAGGUAUGGCUUUGAUUUUCCUUUUGGCAGGCUUAUGCCAUUCACUCUUUCAUUGCCCUUCCAAGAAACGCUGCUGGGUGCCUGAAGAGCAGGACGCUUCUUACACUUGGCAGGGGAAGAUAACAGUAAUGCUACAGUUUGCGCUUUGAAAGAUUAAAAGCGACAUUUAUUCCUUACAGUACUUUCAAACUUUCUCAAGUUAAUUUAAAAUCCAUUUUAGAGAAUGUGUAGCUACUAAUACUGGAUUUUUAGUUUGGUUUGUACUUUUUAAUAAAUUUUGCACACUCUGUACCUGAAUAAGAGGUGGAUUAAAGUCAGCCCAGUUAUUUAAAGUGCAUUAACUGCUUUGAGCAGUCCUUUCCCUCCAUUGGAAGGAACACCCUGUGUCUCUGAGACUGGUCUCUUUGUGAUACCUCUGUAAAGGUUCUUGCAAGAAAUGACCAUACUUUAAAAGCAAAUUUCUAUUUUUUGGAAACAUUUUGCUUCUCCUUCCCCUUUUUGCUGGUAACCUACCUCCUUGCUAGUUGAGUAGACAACAAGUGUUCCUUCCCCACCUCAUGGGGCAGCUGAUAAAUUAUUCAUAUGACUAAUGAGGAUUUUGAAUUUUCAUGCAAACUGUGAUGGCAUUGUUAAAGGCUUGCAUCACUUCGGCAACGUUUCUCCUGCACCUGCGUGCUUCAGGCAAUCAGGUGUUUAAAAUUACCCAUGCACAGAGCUUUUCCCCUUCUCCUGCAACCGCUUUGCUAAGCAAGGGAGUCCUGUGGCUAUUUUGUCUAUGUGAGGGUUUUUUUCUGUCCUAAUUACCGUGAGGGGAAAAGGGAAUCUGAGAGGGCUGUGUUAAUUAGCAAAAGGGAUCACAUACCUUGCCUUAUAUUAAUUUUGAAAUGACAAGACACAGGUGCAGUUUUAGUGGCAUUUGAAUGUGUGUUAGCAUUUAAGGUCCUUUCAUUUAUUGUUUUCCAUCCUAUGGAUUGUUCUUACUUUAGUUGGAGUGUAGCGGGAGGAAAAAAAAAAAUCUCACGAAGCUCCCAUUGAAGUGAAGAGCUACAUGAUGUGAAAGGGCUGAUUAUGUUUAUAUUACAUGUUCUGUGAAAAAAAACAAGCCCCCCAGCUAGUAGGGGAAGAAAGGUCACUGGAACUGAAGAAACAACUGACUCAGUGUCGUAAUACUGAAGGCAGUGAGCCUUUUGGAGAUGAGAGGGAUUUUCUGAUCUGGUUCAGUAGAAGGCAUGCGACUAUGAAAAUGAGCUUUUCCUGUUAUGUUGGAAAAUAAAGCAGCGAAUCAGGAGGACUAGGGUUUGAAAGGCAAAAAUUACAUUUAAUUGUCUUUUUACCUUCAAAUGCUCCACAGUUGAUUGGCGGUGCUGUAUCAUUCUUCCAGAUCAUCAUCCACAGCAAUAAAGGAAAUCCGUCUUGCAUGCGGCAGCCAGACCUCUGUGACCGUAGAGUGUUGCCAUCACGAGCCUACCUGAUGGCUUUGGGUCUUGAGGUUCUCCUAUCUCCUUUUGUACCUGCUGCACAUGAACUUUUGAAUGUGAAGGAGAUAGUAGAAGACCUGCUGUCCAAAAAGCUAUGUACAGGGAAUUUGUUGCGUAUAUGUUGCACUUUGAAUACAGACCUGAGCCUGUAUUUGAGACAAAACUCAUCUUCAGUCCACACUUUGUGGAGCUGAGUUCACAGGGGCUUUUUCUGAAUGUGAAAAUUAGAGCGUGUGCCACUGGUCCAUACCCUGGAAGCAUCCUCGAUGGGUUGGGCCACGUCACCUUCCCAGGACACUUUCGUCUGCCCUGCUUGCCCUGACAGGUAUGUCUCAAGUACAAAAUCCUUCCCACUUACCAGUCACCACAAUGGAAAUUAUGACCUGUGGGCAGCAUGCAGCAGGGAUGCUUACAUGUCAGUGUGGAUUUCUACAGCUAAGGUAUAGAUGAGUUGAAUUUGGUUAUGAACAGCAAAAAAUGAUCUUAAACUUAAGAUGUUCCCCGUCAUGGGGUUGCUGUGGACAUAGUCUUUGGACAUGGAUAAGUACACGGGAAUGCAUGUGUGGUGGUGGCCAGUCUUUCUCGUAGGUAGUUUUAGUGAAGGCCGUGAUAGCUCCUGUGGGGCUGCCAGUGGUUUAGAAAUGUGCUGAGGAAUCUAAAUCUUCCUACAGACUGCCAUGGGAUUUUAAAGUAUGAGCUCUGUAAAUCUUCACAGAUGAUUGGUCAGUUGAAACACUUAUACUCAAGAGCUUUGGUGCAUAUGCUGGUCAUUCAGUCCUUCUUGGACAAUAGUUUUGCUCAGAAAGAAGAAAAAUUGAGUAACUCCAGCUACUUCACACCAUGGCAGUAGGCACAGAGUGUGCUUAGUGUUGUGCUUACAGCAAAAGUGGGCAUUUUGAAAUAGCAGAUCACUGUGGAAGUUGAUCAGAAGUGCAGCACAGGAUUGUUUUUAGUGGCUUCUGGGGGAAUAUUAAGAUUUAUUUCUGUGAAGACUUACUCAGCAUGUUGCACAAACUCCUCUUAACGUGCUAAUAAGUCAAUGUGUUACUGAAUGCUUAGCCAUUAUAAUUACAGCCACGUGUUGUCCUUUUUACAAAUAGGUCUGACUUAAUUGCAUCAUUUUUCAGGAGGAUUUAUGUGGUCCUGUUUAAUCUAAAAUUAGUACAUGCACAAAUGAAGUGCAAACUAUUUUCCAUCACUGAACUGUGAAAUGUUCUCCAGAAUAGAGAGAUACCAACAUGUUUCUAAAAAGAUCCAAUAAGCAAUCAGGCAACUUUGGGAUUUGUGUCUGUGUCUGCACCUCUACAAUUUCGCUAAAAGUAAGAAAAAAUAUACUGAAAUAACAUUAACUGAAAAAUGAACAAGAAAGUCAGUUAAAUGAUCUAAAUCAAGCAGUCUUUUUUGAUUAUCACCGGUAAAACAAAGCAUGGGGGAAAUCAUAAAUCUAUCUUGAUAUUGCUAGCUUUCAGCAUUUGUUAAAAUACAGUAAGAGCUAAUGCAUUUUAUAUAUUACAUCGAUCUAUCACAUGUAAAUAUAUCACAUUUAAAAGAUACUCUGAAGGCCAAGAUUUUGUUGGCCUAAAUUCUAAGUGAGCAUGACUAAUAUUCCAUAGUACCUAUGUAGCUCUGAGGGCCUAAGGAUACGUAUAGGAGAUAGUAGGCAUAAGAGUUUGGGUUUCCUGAAAAUAGAUCAAAUAUUGCAAUUGCAAUACCUACAUUUUAAUUUGAAGUUUGGAAUAUGUGUGUUUUCCAAGAGUGUUGGAACCUGGAUGUUAAAAUAUAAAAGAACGACCAAAUCCCAACCAGACUGAAAAGCCUAAUGGUGGAACCAGAUGAAAAACAUUUUUGAAUUUCUAUCUAACAGGGAAAAAAUAUUUUUACUUCCGUAGGGUGGAGAUCUUGCCGUCCAGAAUGGAGAUUUAUUUACUGCUGUGAGGAAGUCUGCCGAUUUUCAGUGGGUAAAUCAGAAAGCCGAGCAAGGUCUGAAUGUUACUUAAGCACUAAUAUAAACAUGGGAGCUUUUCUGUAAUUUUUUUUUUUUGCUCUUGUCAUCUUGGUCAAAAUAUGUGUGGCUGGAAUGGAGAUAAAUGCAGCUUUUGAGAGCUACUCAGUUUUGUGUGAUUAUAUGAUUUCAGUAGAAAGUAGGAGAAAGGCUAUAUUACUAAAAAUACAUGAAUAUUGAAAACAGCCCUUGGUUUAAAUUAGAUGUCCCUAAUUUUUAUGAUUUGAAAGUAUUUCUCUUUGUAAUGGGCCAAGAUUUCAAAGGCUUACUUAAAGCAGGGCACCUACUGACCUGUACAGGUUAAUUUUAGCCAUGAGAAGUGGUCGUCACUGUGGCUGUGAAUGGGUUACCAGACAGUAGCUUGCAGGUCACUGCCAUUUCUCUCUGGUUCAGCACAUCUCCACAGUAUUUGACACUCUAGAACCUUCAGGCUGUGUUUGGUAGCGUGUUCUGAACAGAAGCUUCAGCCAAGCUGUCUCUCCCAUAGUGCUGAUCGUCAGUGAGCAGAGUGAUCCGUGGUGGUCCUUACUGUCUAUCCAUUCUUGUGUUUGGCUUAAAGUGGUGUUUAUGGUCUUCUAAAGGUGGAAGAUCUGGUCAAUCUGAACUAAUGGUUCCUGACAGCUCUUUAAUCUGAAUCCUUUGAUAUGACAGCAGAGGUGUGCCCAAAAUAGGGCCCAUGGUUUCUCCAGUCGUUCGUGAUUGUAGUGGUGUUUGAACCAGGUUACCAACCUUGAACAUCUCUCUGCCACCUUGUGCACAUUCACAACUUCUGCUUUUCCUAAGAAAAUCUAUUUUGUAAAUUAAAGGCAAGUGCCCAGGCUCAGGAUUUUGCUACCAUUUGUAAAUCAGGAGCUGAGCAUUUAACUGGUACUUCUCACAGAGACUUUUCCAAAUGUACUUGUAUGAAAGCACUUAAGUACCAUUAGCUUCCCUUGACAAGAGCAAAGUGUGAUGCAGGAGUAGGAUGGGGGCAAUCGUAGUUGUGCUUGGGAAAAUCACACGUGGAACAGGAGGCAUUGAUGGAUUUUAGAGAAUGCUUUCCUAAGAGGUGCAAUAUUCUCUGUGGAUGUGGCACCACUCUCAGUUCAUCAGACCUGAUGUAAAGUCCUUUCUGGUGCAAAGGACACCUGGGCCACUUUGGCCUAUUGUGCAGGACAUACAAAUCUUGCAGAGAGCAGAAAACUGUCUGUGGAGCAUGGAGCUUGGGUCUUCCAAAAUAAUGGUCUGCUAAACAGAAGUGAGGGAAGAAGGGUGCUCUGCCAUCUACUAUGUAAGUUAAUAAUUUAUGAGGUUCUGUGCUUUUUGGCUACUGCCACAACUGAAUAAGCAUUUUUGGUGCUGUGUGUCUGGUUUUCAACUGCUUAUCACUAUUCUGAUUUUGUUGCAGCGUACUGUUUGUCUGUAGCGUGUUCCUGUCCACGCAGAGUGACCUCAGCCAGUCUGCAAGUCAGGGUAGCGAUCUCCAUCUGUUGAGCACUUGUCAGAUGAGCUACUGACCUGUGCUGAUCUAACACCCUGUAACACCUGGGAGCUGCUCAGCUGUGGCCACUGGACCACUGAGUGACAUGGAGCAAGGUGCAGCUGCAACAGCUUGGAAUAAGCUAGUUUUCUCAGGUUGGAUAUUCUGAUAUUUCUGUUGCAUCUUGAACACGUAGAAGCAGGAAAACUUGUUUCGGGGGCUAGAGGCAUCAGCACAGAGAGAGGAUGGAUGGUGUAUGUUAUUGAAACCAAACUACAGUUCGAUGUUCCCAAACAGAGCAUUUCCUGUGAGAAGAAGGGAAGACAUCAGUUAAAUUGUCACAAAUAAACCCUGAACUGUUGUGAAACAGCAUCUGAUUUCCUAGAUUAAUCUGAAAGGUUUACUGAACUGGAGACUAUUGUAGAAAUACUUGUUCCGCACAUACAGCUGGAGUCAAGUGUUACCCACAUUGGACAAAUAUCUGUGGAAGUCUGUGAAUUGCUUGACACACCUGACAGAGCAGACAGAAGUAUCUCGGCCUUCAUUUACCAUGGAGUUGAGCAAGGUACAGCCUGCCUGCCUGGAUUUUGUCUUUGGAGACAUUGCUUUACUGCUUCAGGUCGAAUAGUGGCAGAGAAGGUAAAUUUGCCUUAAUAUCUGCAAAAUGCAAGAGAAGGAAAGGUGACUGAUUGAAAAACAACCAGUAUGUGUUUGGAAUAAGCUUAUUUUUGGAUUUCAAACCAUUUGUUAUAGAAAUACUGAGUGGAUGUUUCACAAGGGUUUAUCUUAUUUUGCAUUUCAUCUGGUGGUGUUUCACAUUUUACAGGUUCCUUUAUAGAACAGUGGUAAAUCCUUACAUAAAAAAAGUCUUCUGUAAGCCAUCCAAGUAGUUGUACUCACAUGAGAAUUGUUUAAAAGCAACAUUUUCUAAGAUUGUUUACAACCUGAAGAUAUUAGAGAAAUCUGUACGAGGAAGAAUAACAGUGAAAGUAAAGGUCAGAACUUUUUUUACCCUUUCUAGGUUUCUUAGGGUGAUGUUAAUUCUUUCUUCAAUAACACAUGGCACAGAUUCAUGGGAUCAGCAGAGCUCAAAUGUCAUCUCAAAAUGAACACUUCAAAAUAUUAUCGGAGUGGGAUUUGUUUAUCUCAUGUGCAUCACUGUGGAUGUCUGCAUUGGUAUAGUGGCUGAAAUUCCUCAAAUCAAGUCUUCACUAAGGACUCCGUGAUGCAUAUCUUCCUUGCAAAGGGCAGAGAAACAGUGACAGGCGGAAAAUACAGUCUUGUGAGGCAGUAUUUUCUAAGAGAUACUUUUAUUUCAGGAUAAAAUAUUUUGGCUUAAAAUAUUACCUCCCCCCCCGGAAAAUUACUUGUACUGAUACUGAUAAGGUUUCCCAGAAUCCCUAAGCAUGUAUCUGAAGAUACACAUCCACAGACUUUCUAAGACUCUCUGUAGGACACUGAUGCACAAACUUAUUUUCAUACUUCAGUUUCUAUUUAGACAUAUAUUGCCUCUCUUCCCCCUUCUGUUACGAAGGUUUAUCCAGAACUGCUAAUUGUCUAAACAAGAUGUUCAUAUGAGAGUGGUCCAUUGCAAGAUACUUUAUCAGUAGAUGAGAUAUCACUUCUUUAAAUGUGAAAUAGAGACUUUUGUGAAUUGUUUCCUGUAGUUAGCCAGACUAAACUACGUUGCCUUAGUAACAGGGUCUGCCCCGCAGGGUCAGAAGACACAUGUCAAAUAGACACUAACAGGAAAGAUUUUCUGGGUGUGGGUCUGCGAUACCAGUACCAAAACCUCCCAUCACCAGAAAUGGAGGACAACCUCAUUCAAUUAGGAAGCACAGAUAAAAGACCGUUUCAGUUACAGGUGAGAGCACAUAUUGGCUGUUUGACAUAAAUUUAAUAAUUCUCUAGAAAAGUAGUAAGGCCUUGCCAGCUACACCUAAGCUGUACUGAUUUAUUAGCCAGUGUUGUGCUGCUGGGUGUGAGUUGGGGUGUUGUGGCUUCUUGGGUACUUGGGCUUCUCACAUUUUUUGUGAUCAGCAAUCUGAAGUGCCUUGCCCCUGUCCAUUAUCAGCCAUACAAAGUACCUGAGAUUGCCUGUCUGAAUUGGAUUUAUGUUAUUUAUAAAAGGUAGAGAGGGAGGUAGCUUGCUAACUUGUUUUUCCUGCUAACUGGAUCUUCAUCACAAGUGGCUGUGUAAGUUCUCAAGAGCUUAUCAUUCGUGUCUUGUCUUCCUACAUGUAACUGAUGCAUCUAAUAAAAAUCAAGUGCCAAAAUCUGGCUAAUUACUGAUUGGAUUGCUCCAUGCAUCUACUCUAACAGAUGUAUCGCCCUCUUUGAGCAGUUGUUCAAGAGGUUAACGGAGAAUUCCUGACCUUUCGAAUGGGAAUUUUGCCAAUAGCAUCAACUGGCAUAAGACUAUUGAUGGUCUGAGGCAAAGCUUAGAAGAUAAUUGUUGUGUUUAACUGUUAAUUCUAUAGUAUUAUCCUGGUAACUUGUUGAUGCAUCUAAGAGUUGCUUGAUGUUUAUCUACACACACCUGCACUUGUGCACAGACUUGCCUUUGGGAAUUCACAUGCUCCUGCUAAUAUGUAUGCAAAAGAUUCACUGGGCUUUUUUAUUUGUAAACAGAAAAUGUUUUGACUUAUGUCCUGAUAAAGGGAGCUGUUACAAAUGCAACAUGAAACUGCAUUGAUGUAUCAGAAGCUGACCAGGUCAUCCUUGCACACUUACAGCCAUGAUUUGAGAUGCUGAAGAUGUGGAUGCCAAAGGAAAAAAACACAUUGCACAUUGUUAACCCCCCACUACGGGGAUAGUUCACCCAUUUGCAGAACUGUACACAGACCAUGACAUCCUUCCCUCAGUGGGAUUUGUAUGAUAUGAGAAUUACUACCUGCCACUCUGCGCCUCAUGCUGGGAGACAGGUCUGUGGAGCGAUGGAGCCUGGCUGUCUGCAGGCAGGACUGCUGUGCCACAUCCAAAGCAAGCUUGCCAGUCAGCAAACGCUGCAUUAAUCUUUUGGGGAGUGUUUGUUUUGCUUGUUGUGCUAGGCUCAGUUUCAAGCAACUGAUAAUGUGUUCAUGAGCAGUUCUCCUGUUGCAGUCCAUUUUUCAAAAUAAGAGUGAAGAUGGAUGCUCCUAAGGUUGGGUGAGAUGUGGGUGUGAAGGGUUGUAUAUGAUCUUGCUUCCAUGUGUGAGCUUAUGGUGCUUUUGAGUGCAUGUUACCUAUGCAAGUACAUUUGGGACAGUGGAGUAAUGACUCUUUGAAGUCAGAUGAAUGUUUUUAAAAAUAUGCCUUGGACAUGGUCCUUCUCUGAUGCUAGUUCUGCUAGUGGAGUUACCUCACUGCAUACCAGAUAUAUGUUUGUUUGCUUAGUAAUAGUCAAACCUUCAAACUGCUGAAGGGUAAACUCAGCAGGCUUCUGAGGAUUAGGUAGGAUAAUGCUUUAUUGCUUACAGUUUAAGUAUUGAAAUGUCUAGAAUUUUGGGAGGUAAACAAUGGUGUGUCUGGCCUAUUCCUACGUUUACCGAUAGUGUCGCUGCUCAGUCCAGCUGUACCACUGUAGUUAGUUCUCACAGGCACCUAAAGCCACAUCCUUCAAAGUUUCUGUGUGCACUUAAUUCCUCCAGGCAAAAAGGAAUUUAUAUACUGAAAUAACUUCUAGGAUGUGAAAAAAUCAGGUGUGAUUCUGGAGCCUCCCAAGUGUGUGUAGGACCUCUAAAUAGGAGGCUUUUAAAGAUCUUUGUUGUUUUUAAAACAGUGCUAUUUGUUGACUUGCAAAAGAAAAUAUAGUAACAUUUCUCCGCGUCAAGAGAAUUUCACUAUUGGGGUGAGAACAGGAGGGCACACUCUGCUCCCAGGUUGUGCUUACAUAGUCUAAAAGAAUGUGUCUGGGCGGUCAGUCUGCUACAAAAUGUUGAUCUUUAGGCUGUUGGGGUAACACAAAUCCAGUGGAUGUUUCAUGUGCAAAUACUUCCCUGGAAACUGUUGCUGAGAAGAAAUCUUUUGCUUAAAAUCUAUUCUGCCAAGAGUACUCCAAAGAUAGUAUUACAAACAGCAGUAUUUUUUAAUGAAAAUAUGUACCCUCUGCUUAAAUGUAACUUAUGUUUCUACUCUAAAAGUCAAAUCGCCUGGGAAGGACCCAAGCCUCGUGCAGACCUGCCACGCAGCAGGUAUGCUGGCAAAACGGGGAAAGCUGUCGCUCCUCCUUGCCUGCUGCAGACACAAACACUGUGAGAAUCCCCUUGAUACAGGGAAGUGUUGUUGUAUUAGACACAACAAUUAUUAGUGUGGCAACAGGAUAGUUCCUCCAGGCCCAGAUAAACGUUGCAACACCUCCCCUCCCCAAAGAUACUGCUUUAAUUGGAUCUAGGAGAUGAGGUUUAGCAUCUUGUAUUUUGCUGUGUACUUCUUUGUGAAAAGUAAUGCAAAUCCUUGUUAUCAGUCUUCGGUUGUAGCAGUGUAUCAUAGGGCUGGGGUUAGUAGAAGGAUGGUCAUGAUUGGUUACACUACAGACUGCUGAUAAAUAAUAAUCUGAACGCUCUUGGUGACAGAAGGUCCCCAACAUGGAUGGAUCACAGUGUGGGAUAUGUUGUAUCAGAUAUGAGUUCAACUAUGUGAUGCAAUUCCUACAAAAUAUAUGCACAACUUCUCUUGUAAAACUUAUCCUCAUAAUUUUUCUGAGCAACCUUCAAUUCUUUUGCGUGUAUUCUAGAAAAAAACAAAACCACAACACCAAAACCAGAAGUUCCUUGGAAAAACAAAAGAUUUUUAUGUUCUGCAGUUUCUGCAGUGAGACUAUGCAGACUUCAGGCUGGUUACUAAGAAGAGCCCCAUAUAUAUCUGAGGGUGAAAAAAUAAUCGUGUCACUUCUUUGGAACAUGAUCUAAAGUUCACUGAAGUGGAUGAAAAGGCUCCUGUUGGUUUUAAGUGGAUCCAGCCUUUACAUGGUGAACAGAAGACAUGUGUCUCAUCUGCUUAAAUGUGAAAAUGUUAUUGGUAAUUUAUGUUGAUAGAAAGAGCACAUGGUAACUUUCUUCCUGCAUUUAUGUAACAGGAGGCAAAGGCUUCAAAUGUGCAGUUAAAAAACAUCACGGAUGCAGUUGCCUACUUACCAGCAUGAUGAGAGUGACAUGACUGAGGAUCAGGCAGUUUUAAGAAUAUUUGGUGAAGACUAAACAUUAGGCAUGGGUUUUCUCUUCACCAUCUUACCCAAAGAUGACAGCUUGCUGUUCCUGGUGAGCAUUACCGUCUUCAGGCUUGCAGAAGGGGAGGUGGUUCUUACUGAGUCACCUACGUUGAUGUUUUCUGAUUUUGAUUCACGUGGUGCUUAAUCAAGGAUGGGCCAGGCAGGAUGUUGUGGUCUGCAGAGGUGACAGUCUCCCAGUACCGCUCAACAAUGGAGCAAAGGAGUACGUUGUCUACACCAGCUAACAGUCCAUAACAACUAUUGUGACCCAUGGUGUGAUGAAUGACGUUACUUUGGGCUGGAAUUAAUAGAGUACUAAGAGAAGAUAAAACCAGCAAAUUACACUUAAGAUGAUUUGCGAUGGAUCUUGUAUUUUUAAGAUAUCCCUGUGUCAGUGUGCAAAGGGAUCUCUUCUACAGCCUUGUUUAACAUCAACAUUUUGGAGAGGAGAUCUUUCAGGAUUCAUUUGAAUUCAUUUUGUCUGAUAGUCAAGAACCUCUCCUGAUCUUUUUUCAAAUAUAUAUAAAACACAGAUAUGUAUUUAAGAUAACAGAACAUUCAAAAGACUUGAAGGCCAUGCAGAAAGAUGUUACGUAGCAGGAAAUAGUGCAGGAAUAAGAUGGCUGGAGCCACUCCUCAGAAAUAAAAAUAACAUGAUGCUUCAUACAUCCAGUUACUGUUGUACAUUGGUUAAAAUCAGCGGAGUUGCUCUGGAUUUUUAGCAGCAUUGAAAGAAGUGAGAGCAAAAGGAAAAAGAUAAAAUGGGUUGGUUUUUUUUUUCCUUCUUAAUGUGUGCUGAUUCAGUUUGUUUCUUUGGAACACCUAAAUACAGAAAAUUAAUAUAAACAUCAAGACACUGCAAAGAACAACAUUUAAAGAUAACUUUUUUGUGAAUUGAUGAGCUGAGCUGAUAGCAGCGGAGUGGGAUCAGUUAGUGGUCAGAUACCACAUGAUGGAUCUCAGUGUUUUUUAGCAGGCGUUAAGACUGAUUCCACGUGUUACACAAACCAGAGGAAGCCUGGGACUAAACAACUUGUUGUCAAAGAAACUUGCACCAUCACAAGGGAAAAAAUCUAACAUCUACUUUUCCCUUUUAUGAAUUUUUACCGUGUGGGGAAGCUAAUUUUAACAGCAUAAAAACCAGUGAAACAGAAAAAAGUCUACCAUUUCUGAACUAACGUCUUUCAGGUAAACUCAGCAUCUGCCAUCAUUUGCAAUCAUUAUUGCAAUUUUUUAAAAAUUUCUGUUUUUGGAAACAGAUGUUGGGAGAGGCAUAAGAACAAAUGAUGCUUGUUGCAACCUAAAUUUUCACGUUAAAGUACACCAAAUGAGCGCAAAAGUGAAAAUUUAGGUCUGGGCAGAAGUCUGGCAUCACCUUCUCAAUCCCACUUCAGACCAUUUUAAAGAGAGUUGAACAUCCUGUAGCCUCAGUGCAGAGGACAGCAUACCCAGCAGUGCAUGUACUUGAGACCUUCUCUAUGAUCCUUGCAAAAAGAGGCCAAAUUCAUCAUUUUCUUGGCCUUUCAAUGACAUUUGUCCUGUGUGGACACCAGUGCUUUCCAGCAAUGUAAGCAAUUUUUCUUUUUGAUAAUGGACAGGCUAUAUAUUUCAAAGACCUGCACGAGCUUCUGUGAGCAUGUUCACCAUUACAAAUGGUGACAGUUUUGCUCACUGCUGACUCCGUAGAUUUGCAGUUUCUGUGCCAAACCAGUCAAGCCCCACAUCUUGCAUUGAAAAUGGUGAGCUGUACAUGAUGCUGUUGUUUCUCUUCACUGCCAGCUCUUAGACGUAUCUGGCAGGGAUGUUCACUUAAUGAAGUGUUUUCUACCUUAGUGAGAUCUUUUCAUGACAUUGCUUGAAAAAUCCAGGUUUGCCAAUUCGUUUGUGUAAGAAGCUGUGAAGCUUGUUCCACACAUUCAUUACCCAACUUCUUCGUGUAGUUUUGAAAUGUUCUUGCAUUGUACUGUUUGGUAAGCAAGUCCAUGCCAAAGUCAGAGCAUAGAGCUUGUUCAAGAUACUUCCAUUCCUUGAAAGUAGCCAUACAAACACUUUCUACCCAAAUGCAAAUUAUUAGUCAAGUUUAUUCCAUCUGGGGUUUGUAUGUGUGCAUGUAUUCUUGGCUAAGUGUUUUAGCAAGUACUAAAAUUCCAGGUAUGUUAAAGGGAUCAGGAAAAUUCAUGCCAGUAUUAAAUGAAUAUUUGUGGAGAGUGAAUUUUAAGUAUGCUGUGGAAAGUCUGUAAUGCUUAAUGCUGUAUUCUUCUGCUAAAUGGUUAAAUUCUGCCCUAAUACCGAUUUUGCCAGGACAGUAGGAAUGUAGAAAAUACAUGAGAGUAUACUUGUAGUGAUGAACAUAUAACCAUAUGAGAGGAUUAUUUGGGAAAUUAUAAUAGGCAAUUGAAGUCUUGGAGAUGUUCAAGAGACUUCGUUGCUUCCAAUAGCAGAUUGUUUAUGGGGAGAAAUAAAGCUAAACCCAUUCACUUUUUUUCAAGUAGCUCUAGUAACUUGUAAGAUUUGUGUCAGGCUCUGAGUAGAAAAUGAUCACCACUUAUAUUCCAAAGAAUAAUAAUAAAAGCUUGGUAAGAGAAAAGCAAUACUGAGGCUUUUUUAGUGAGCUCAGUAGCUUUAAUUUUUAUGUGGGUUUUUUUGAAGAUUUUGUUAAAACUCUGAGCUCUUCCGUUGAAGUAUUGCAGUUAAUCUGCAGUGGUUUUUUGCUUGGUCUUGCUCUUGUCUUUCUCAAUCUCACAUUUUAGCUGUGUGCCGCUGGCUAUUAACCCUGUGAAUUUCUUUUGGAUGUGAGAAAGCUUGUUUCCAGUAAUCCAUAAACCUCCAAAACCACCACAAAGCGGUAAGACCCCACUCACCUCCCGCUUUUAACAUUAAAGAGAAAAGCCUCUUUGUGCUCUUGUGUUGCUGAGAAGUCACAGCUGCUUCAGUCCUGACUUAACAGCCUUGGACAGAAGCUGGUAGCCUGUUGCUUGUUUUUGGGGUGUGGGUUUUGUGAGUUUUGAUUAUGAUGUUUGGUUUGGUUUUUUGUUGUAUUUUUGGGGUUUGUUUGUUUGUUUUUUUGUUUUUCUUUCAAACCAGGAGGCAGGAAUUCCUCCUGAGGAGAUGGGAUAGUCUGUGGUUUUUUAAGGGCCCCAAGCUAUCCUCAUUAUCUGAUAUAGGAUGGCAGUACGGGGAUGUUGAGGCAUAAAACCUUUCUGGGGCAGGCAGAUUAAGAAAUCUUUUCAUUCUCACUGAAGUUAAAGGUCAAGGCAGAUGAACUACAGAGCAUGUUAUCUCCUUGCAGUUUUACUCAAUGUGUUUUCUCAGCAGUAUGGUGGGAAGAAAUAUUAAACUUCUUCUUCUCACUGCUUUGGUUCAUAGUGGCAGGUCAAAAAUGUUAUGGCUCACCCAGUAGUUUGAAUAAUUUCCUCAAGUUUUAGUCUUGCAAGUUGGACUCUGUAUCCUUUGAAGUACAGGCUUUUCAUCAGAGGACUGGCAAUGGUUACUUGUGCCAGUUAGACUCCAGGCAGUCCUGCUGAGCUUGAAAUAGGGACUUGCACAGCUUUUGGAUUUGCCGAGAUGCAUUUCAGGCUUUUAAAUCUGCAGGGCAGAACCUGGAGGGAGAAAGAUUCCUCCUAUUCCGAAAGCCCAGGCACACUUGGUUGGCAUCAGGGGGGCCUCAUCCAGCCCAGCCAGUAGGACCAUGUGGUCGGAUCCUCGUAGGGUCCCUCUGGCUGCAGCAAAAUGAGUCCUGCUUCAUGCUCGUGUAAGGAUCUGAAAUUGUUUUCUAACGAAGAAACCUCCUCUGCUGUGGUUCAUUGAUCUGCAUGGACUUGCCAUGGUGGAAGGAGAUUUGUUUGCAGGCUUUUAAAACCCACAGCUGAAUUUGGGUUCUUCCUCUAAAAUUGUCCUUCACUGAUUACUACGCAGACUUUCAAAAUUAGACAAUUUGCUGUGGGAUUUGGGGGAAAAGUGGAGCCUAUAUUUUAUCUAUAACUGUGUAAUGGUGUCUGAUAAUUCCUAUUUUUUUAAAAAACUUUUUUAAGAGAGAAACUUCUGAUUUUGUGAGGAGGAAUCCUAGCAGGGCAGAAGGAAGGAGAUGGAGGGGAGCAGAGAUUAGGGAAGACCGUGGCAUAAGCUUUCCCUUCUGUUACCUGCAGGCACAUUUAAACCAGCGGUUACUGUAUUAGAGUUGUGGGUUUUUUUAACAUCUAAGUUAUAUGCAUAAAAGUAUGAUAAACUUAUUCCAUCAAUUUAACCAGGUGUUUAGAAACAGCACUAUGUACUUCUCAAAGCUAGACAUGACUGGAGCUUUUCUCUUGCCAUCUCAGCUGGGUGACAACCCGUGUGGUCAGGAGACGUGGUUCAGCACAGCCACUCCUCCUCCUACGGGCAAGGACUCCCAGGCUUUGAUGGUGUAUGAUCUUAAGGUUUUUGCCCUCUCCACACCCUCCUGUGGAUGCCAGUCAUGAAGCCAGGUCCUUUGCCCACCUCCAUCUGGCAGAGUAAAGCUGAGGGAUGAAGUCCCCCCAUGGUAGGCAUUGGUGAAACACCAGUGGGACUGAUGGUGCUACACCCAGAGUCCAGAGCAAUAUUUUAAGUGGGAACAGCCAACAUGAUCAAUUGAGAAAGUGGGCAAUGCUGGACCUCAGUUCUUCCCUUCCUCCCCUCAUAUUUAUAGGUUUCUAAUUUCCGCUGGAUAAUGAAUAUCACUCUUCAUUAUAAUUAUGUUAAAAGGUACCAGCAUGAUGAUUCAGAAACCCUUGAAGAUAUAGUCAUAUUUUCAGCAACAGAUGGAUUUAACACUGCAGAUGGAAUGUUAAGAGUGCAGGUAAUAACAAACUCAGCAAUGUACUGUACUGAAAUAUAAUUGGAAAGUAUUAAUCAUAUAUUGGUUACUUCAGUUUCACUAAGUAGAUGUUUAAUUUUCAUCAAUCUUUUUACCAGAUUCCCGGAAAGAUUUCUGUGUAGACGGAGUGUGGCUUCUAGGUGAAACGAUUGCUGAAGAUAUUAAUGACCAAGGCCUUGAUCUUGCAAGCAUGUGCCCAUGGCUUACCCAGGCAUGAAGAAUAAAAAUCAUUUGUGUUAAUAAGGCUGUCAGAUGGGGCCCCAUUCAUAUGGCCCAAGUUUCAGCUGAUGACUAGUCAGUAGUAAAACCGAGACCCCUCUCAGCUUGGGGGCUGCUGGAAACCCACCAGCAGGAAUGACUGACUGCAAGAUUUGGGGCAGAACACAGGCAGUUUGAAAAGUCAUUUAUAGAGGUGUGAACCAUGAGUCUAAGCCUUUGCAGGACUGGGGGUCAACAUGUAGACGGAACUGGGAAAAGCUGGGCUUUUUUGCAGUUCCUCGUUAUUUUCUCCAUGUACAGAUCUUUUGAAAUUACCUGCUUAGAGGGAAACGUCUGCUGCUCUUUUCAUAAACCCUGUCAUUUUACUGUUUUGUUUUGUUUUCGUGUGCUUCUGCCUAGAGGUUUAAAGCCUGGGUAAUUCAGGGGAGUUUUGCUCUGAGCAGGCCAUGCAGGACCAGAGUAAGCUGUGAUACCUGGUUGUGUACCAUGACUCUCAUUCUUUUUAAUGCUAUUUAUAACAGGGAUUUGAUUAGUUAGUAUCACAAAGUGGUCCAUGCUCCAGUGUGCCACCUGGGACACGGGGAGUGCUGUAGGGCAACAAUUCCAUCGCUCACAGUCAAAAUCUUCAUCUGUUUUACGGCAGGAAUAUAAAAUGUGAUUUUUGGUGAAAAUGGAAACGUUUUUCUUUUGAGUAUGUUUCUGUGGAUGCUUUGUGUUCACCUUCUUCUCCAUGGGUUCGGGUAUCUGGUGAAGCUGCAUCUCCAUUGAUUUCCUUAGGAGCUUCCUUUUCCCUGGUGGGAUUGCAUCUCCAUGGUGUGUCAUGAUGACUAUGGACCGAUCAGGCUUGUAAAUGACAACAUAAGCAUUCAAUACCUACAUUUGAAAGUCCCUGCAAUAGUUUGGCUGAAUUCUUUGGUCUUUUGCUGAACUAUGUACAUUUCUAGCUAACUGUGGACCCUGAAAAUAUAAUGAAAAACUGGAAUUCUCUCUGGAAAGUUUACUCUCACUUGAUGGCACUAUAUAUUGGCUGUUGGGGACCAAAAAAAAAAAAAAAAAAAAUCAGUGAAUAAAACACAAUGUGACUGGAAAUAAAAUUGAGCAUGACUGGAAACCACAGGUGAAUAUGCUUAAUAAUGCAAAAUUAGUGUACUGUCUACUUUCUGACAGAUGUUUGUACCCCAGAGAGAUACAAAUAGGUACUGAUCAAUUGACAGUGAUAAUCAAAUAAGGAUCUGUGUUUAUAGGUGACUAAAAGUAUGGUGUCUCUUUCAGGGUACCAGUCAGGGUGAAUUGUUUUUAACAUGGGUUUCUCCAUUGCUGUUGUGGGAAGUGGGUAGCUUGUUUCUAGAAUGUGAAGACAAGUAGCAUUUUUGCUUAAUUUUCACUUACCAUUGGAAAUAAUCUCUCCGUUCCUAUUCUAUCCAGAUUAUGUGGGUGAGCAGCAAGCCCCCAGGGCUGCAGCAGGGAUUGCACAUACUGGUAGGACAGACUUCUCAUCUUUCUGGCAUUAUUUUAACCUUCCUUCUCUCUGUCUUUUUUUUUUUUUCUCCUUAUUUAUGAAAAUUAAUCGAAUCAAAAGUAAUUUAAAUUGUCAGGUGUCUCAGUUUUGAUUUAAAUUGUAUGUUUUAAACUUGUUCUGCAUUUGUAGCACAUAGUUAUGUUGUUCGGGUGAAUUUCAGUCUUGCUGUUCACCGGCAGAACAGGGCAUUUGCUACUUUAUUGUGAGGAACAGGCGGGUAAUGCAUUGAACAUACACAUAAUAGUGUAACUUAAUACAUGUUAAGCUAAGUCUGUAGAGAAGAUCCUAGGAGACAGUAGAUCCCCUUUAAUAAAUCACCUCAUGCUUCACUCUAAAAGGCUGAAACUCCAGCUCAACCGAAGAGGGAUUGAGCAAGGGAUUGUAACUGAAAUCACUGGGACCUGUGAAAGCUGCUGAGCCUCUGUUGUCUCCCUGUUGACAUUGAGACUUCUGUCUGUCCCUCUUUGCCAUUAAUUGUCUCAGGAUGUCCUGCUUGUUCAUUUGUGAUUUGUAACAAAGUGCUUUUGGAUAAAAAAUGUGAUUCAAGCAAAAUCACAAACCACUAGCUUUAUGAAAGCAUUUUAUUUACUAAUUCAAGCUGUGUGAAAUUUGCUAGAUAUAUCACAAAAUAAAGGUAAAUAUGUUUAUUUUAGAACUCGAUAAAUUACUGACAAAGGAAAAAUGCCCUGAGUUAAUCAAUCUGAUGGGUUUGUCACCAUUUGUCCCCAGGGGAUUUAGAAGUAGUGGAUCAUGCUUUAAUGCUGCUCUGCUCUCGUUGUUAGGAAGAGAAAAAACAAACAUUCCUGUGUCUCAGCUCCUCAUCAGUGUCUGAACUUGAACGAAUCAGCUGUUGAGCUGAAGGAAAUGAAAUAUAGAUUGACAUGAAGAAAAUGUUGUCUCUGCAGCUGCAGAAGUAGCUAUAGUUGUCAAAAGCUGAUUUUUGUCCCUUCAAAGACCUGUAUUUUUUUUUUGUCACAUCGUCUCAUUCAAUAGCUGGACUUUCUAUAAAAGGUUGGCCUAAAGUUACUGCUUUAAUUUUUUUUUUUAAUUAUUAAUG